This 453-nucleotide ribosomal RNA is filed under the name uncultured bacterium. RNAcentral describes it as "bacterial SSU rRNA". It matches the Rfam family "Bacterial small subunit ribosomal RNA", at positions 340 to 786 of the family's 1533-position model. The record is from RNAcentral.
UACGGAAGGCAGCAGGGGGAAUAUUGCACAAUGGGCGCAAGCCUGAUGCAGCCAUGCCGCGUGUAUGAAAAAGGCCUUCGGGUUGUAAAGUACUUUCAGUCGUGAGGAAGGUGUUAAGGUUAAUAACCUUAGCAAUUGACGUUAGCGACAGAAGAAGCACCGGCUAACUCCGUGCCAGCAGCCGCGGUAAUACGGAGGGUGCGAGCGUUAAUCGGAAUUACUGGGCGUAAAGGGCACGCAGGCGGUUAAUUAAGUUGGAUGUGAAAUCCCCGGGCUUAACCUGGGAAUGGCAUUCAAGACUGGUUAGCUAGAGUCUUGUAGAGGGGGUAGAAUUCCGAUGUGUAGCGGUGAAAUGCGUAGAGAUGUGGAGGAAUACCGGUGGCGAAGGCGGCCCCUGGACAAAGACUGACGCUCAUGUGCGAAAGCGUGGGGAGCAAACAGGGAUUAGAUACC